CUCCCGAGCAGGACUGGAAGGGAGGAAGGAAAAUGCUGAGGAGAGGUUUGGAAGGCGAAGGCGAGUGCCGGACGGAGCCACAGGCGCGAGCGUGUGCACCAUUCACUUCACGUGAGGGACCGUUAUUCCUGAUGGACAGGAAAAGGGAGUUAAGUGUGAUGUCCUAAGUCAAUGGAAGUCAGUGAGUUAUUGGAAAGGAGAAGUGAGAGAGCUAGUCAUCAAGAACCUGGGGAAAGGUUGACCACAAUGCAACCAUUCUCUCACGCCCACGUGCCCUCGGACCUUGUGUGUGUAUGACGCUGUCCCUGAAGAGAAGCAGGAGAAUUUGACUCAUAAGGAAACCUAAUGUAUUCAGGAAGAAACCUGAUGGCACACAGCACUAUUGGGAGUCUACGGCACAUUGAGACAUAACAGAUCAGUCUCUUAUUGGGCACUUAGUCCCGGCUCUAAAGUGUUGCACAGCAUUAAAAGAAGAUGCAGUGGCAAAUGGAAUUGACUUAUACAACAUCUGAGCCAUUGCAGCACGUCCUCCUUUUAUGCAAGGUUGGUGAAUUUGCAGAUUGAAGGUGUUAGGGAAAUAACAGACAACGCACACAGCAAGGCCUGGACCUUAAUCAAUCGGGUCCAGAGCGAUGAGUCAAGCUGCCAUCAGGCCGACAGAGAGACAGGCUGUCAGCUGAAGAGGGAAAUUUACUGACAUGGUGGUCUUGGGUGCUUCCUCAGGCUUGUCAAAGCUGCCCUAAGGUUUACCGAUAAAGCAGGCCGGAUGUACGAGUGUCAUGACAAGCCUGACAAAGGCAAGGAACUCUGUGUUGGAGUGUGUAUGUGUGCAUGCAUGGUGUCCCUGAGCACCAGUGCAAAGUGCCACAGGAAAUCUGCUUCCACCAGAUGUACACUGAAGUGCAUCAGGCUAGCUAUCCUGCACCAAAAGAAACCGAUUUAUCCUGGUCAGGGAUUGUGGUGGAUCUGGAGCCUAUCCCAGGAACACUGAACAUGAUGUGGAAAUACCAAUGGGAUGGGACGCCAAUCCAAUACCAGGACACACGCGCUCAUUCACACCUACUGGCACGAGGUAUUUUUGGGAGGAGGAAGGAAACGGGAAGAAGCCCAGAAGAAACCCACACUGACACAGGGAGAACAUGUGAAACUCCACACUGACAAUUUCCAGAGCUCAGGAUCAAACCAGGGACCCUGGAGCUAUGGGGUGGUGCUAUCCACUGCACCACAAUGCCACCUUGUUGCUGCUAUUAAUAUAAAUGUUUAAGCCAUUUAUAUGUUUUUAUUAUUCAAUCAUAAUGUUUUUAUAUCUUCAUGCUAUCAUUUUUAAAUCUUUCGCUUGUCAAACUGAUGUACUGCUUGAUUUUAUGAUUGUGAAAUAAGGAAUUUAUUAUUGCCAUGUCGAUUAAUGUCCAUGGUACUUGCAGUCAUGCAGGGCAAACAGACAUAUCACCACUGGUCUGUUUUACUCCUACACACACUAGGCUGCUCAGGCCUGCUGUGUGAACAAAACAGCCUGCUGCACCAAGUAGAUGAUGUGCAGAUGAUCCCACAGUACGACAUAGUGCAGACAGACAGAGUGAGAGAGCUAGAGAGAGGGAGAUGGCCGGAGGGGAGGAUUAGACGUACCUGUGAGAGGCCUGUCAGGUAGAUUUAGCAGCAGAGAUGAUAAGUGAGGGAGUGAGUAGGAGGAGAAGAACAGCAAUGAAUGGGCUUUUCACAGUGCUUUUGGGCAGCUAGAGGAAUAAGGUGCUAUUUCUAACAACAUCAGGAUAGUCAGUCACAAAGAAGUGCAGCUGAGUUUAACAGCAUGUCACGUUGUUAGGGAUGAGAGAGAGAGAGAGUGGAGAGAAAGUCCUCAGAACCAACAACAACUGGUUCAAACAUUUUUUGGGGAUUAAAUAUCAGUUCCUAUUUUAGCUACAUUUUUAGAUAUAUUAUAAAGACAAUGUGCCACAAAUGUGCUACUGAACAUGGAUAUACAAACAAUAGCAUAAACAUAUUAGAGAAUGGCUAUGGAGACUUGGGAAUAAACAUUUGGUUUGAGAUAAACAAAUCAGCAGUUUUGUCCAUCCUUCAUUCACCUUCAACUUCACCCAGGAUGCGAUACCAGUCCAUCGUAGAGCACAAUCAAUAUAGCAUAGCCAGUCCUGCUACCAGCAUGUUUUUUGGACUGUCGGAGGAAACUGGAGACCCAGGAAGAAACCCACAUGAACACAGGGAGAAAAACGCAGACAGUAACCUGAGCUCAAGACCAAACCGGGAACCCUGGAGCUGUGAGGCAGCAAUGCUACCUGCUGUGCCACCACGCGGCCUUUGGUUCUUUAUGUAAAAUCAAUAAAGUACAUAUGCUUGCAAAAAUUCAUCAAAUUUGAACAGG
Long non-coding RNA from Pangasianodon hypophthalmus (striped catfish), 2377 nucleotides. RefSeq lists it as uncharacterized. The record is from RefSeq and is a predicted model, not a curated record. Lineage: Eukaryota; Metazoa; Chordata; Actinopteri; Siluriformes; Pangasiidae. The transcript has 5 exons.